This 461-nucleotide ribosomal RNA is filed under the name uncultured fungus. RNAcentral's name for it is "eukaryotic LSU rRNA". The stretch from base 355 to 461 matches the Rfam family "Eukaryotic large subunit ribosomal RNA", at positions 1 to 107 of the family's 3401-position model. Lineage: Eukaryota; Fungi. The record is from RNAcentral.
GAUCCCUUGGCACGUCAUUCGAUGAAGAACGUAGCAAUCUGCGAUAAGUGGUGUGAUAUGCAAGUCCACAGCUUAUACGUGAACCAUCGAAUCUUUGAACGCACUGCACUAUCCGGACGACACCCCCGUGAUAGUAUGCCCCAUUGAGCGUUAUUUGCUUGUUCAUACACCAGCGUGUUUGCUCACUUUGGUGGAUGAGUUCGAGGUUCACACCUAAUCGGUGCGUUCCUUCAGAGCCAUUAGCACUGAGGUCAAUCCAGUCCGCAUCCUGUGAUGAUUUUGCAGGCCAAGGGUGGGUUUGACUGGUGCUUACAACUGCCUCUGGCAAACUGGCCUUGUGCCCACACUUCGUUUAUAACCUCAGUGGGGUAGGAUUACCCGCUAGACUUAAGCAUAUUAAUCAGCGGAGGACAAGAAACUAACAAGGAUUCCCCCAGUAACUGCGAGUGAAGAGGGAAUAG